Molecule: long non-coding RNA, 649 nt
Filed under: Phoenix dactylifera (date palm)
Lineage: Eukaryota; Viridiplantae; Streptophyta; Magnoliopsida; Arecales; Arecaceae
Description: long non-coding RNA (PDAC_LNC018810)
Source: RNAcentral
UCUCCACCUCAACAUAUGCAUUCAACUAUGUUUUGAUUCUCUGAAUUUCCUUUUAAUGCUUUGAAGUUUUUGAACUGAAUUUUUUGUUUUUAGAGGAAAAAUCUGUCAAUUUGUUCUUGAGUAGGAUUUAGCUAAUCUCCGAAUAUCCCUUGAAUAGAUUCUGGAGAUUACUCCAUUAGGAGCCCCAAAAGAGAGAUAAUGAGCCUCGAGGUACCGAAUCCACUUAGAACAAAUUUGUGUGUGUUUUUAAGAGUUUAUCUUUUUAUUGAUUUCCAUUAAUUUCUUUUACAUAUUUCAUCCAUAUUUCUCCCCUUUUACAUAUUGUAUACAUAUUUCUUCCCCUUUUUGUCAUCAUACCAAAAAGGAGGUAAUCACACACAAUCAAUGGCACAACCAAUCAUCAAAUGGCACAGAAAUGAAGAUAAGAUGUCUACUCAUUGUAUUGAUAUGAAUGUGAAUACAUUUGAGCAUACAAUACGUAAAGCAAAGCAAUACAAAACAAAGCAAAAAGAACAUCUAUGGUCUCCUCGAGGAUGAAGAUCCCCCCUCGAGAAUGUAUCUCCCCCUCUCGAUGAGGUGGCUCCUCCUCUCGAGGAUGGUGCUCCUCCUCUCAAUCGGCUCUGCUCCAUGAGGAGGGUGACUGCAUCUG